AGCUUUAUAUUCAAGAAUGAUUUUAAAUUGCAAAUUUAAAGGUGAAGUUAAUUCUAAGGCUU
RNAcentral lists this transfer RNA (62 nucleotides) under Aesalus sp. JL-2019. Its description in RNAcentral is "tRNA-Cys". Lineage: Eukaryota; Metazoa; Arthropoda; Insecta; Coleoptera; Lucanidae. The record is from RNAcentral.